AUACGUAGGGGGCGAGCGUUGUCCGGAAUGAUUGGGCGUAAAGGGUGCGCAGGCGGCCAUUUAAGUCAGCGGUUAAAUCGUGGGGCUCAACCCCAUUCUGCCGUUGAUACUGGGUGGCUUGAUUGCGGUCGAGGUUGGCGGAAUUCGUUGUGUAGCGGUGAAAUGCAUAGAUAUGACGAAGAACACCGAUUGCGUAGGCAGCUGACCAGAUCGCAAAUGACGCUCAUGCACGAAAGUGCGGGGAUCGAACAGGAUUAGAUACCCUGGUAGUCCGCACAGUAAACGAUGAAUACUUGUUUUCGGCGAUAUAAUGUCGGAGGCAAAGCGAAAGCGAUAAGUAUUCCACCUGGGGAGUACGCCGGCAACGGUGAAACUCAAAUGAAUUGACGGGG
RNAcentral lists this ribosomal RNA (392 nucleotides) under uncultured bacterium. RNAcentral's name for it is "partial 16S ribosomal RNA". It matches the Rfam family "Bacterial small subunit ribosomal RNA", at positions 523 to 918 of the family's 1533-position model. The record is from RNAcentral.